UUGGUUAAGCUAAUAAGAGCGCAGGGUGGAUGCCUUGGCACUAAGAGCCGAUGAAAGACGUGAUAAGCUGCGAAAAGCUUCGGGGAGGAGCAAAUAUCCAUUGAUCCGGAGAUAUCUGAAUGGGGAAACCCGGCUGAGAAGACCUCAGUCAUCCAUACGCCAAUACAUAACGUAUGGAAGGGAACCCGCUGAACUGAAACAUCUAAGUAGGCGGAGGAAGAGAAAGAAACAUCGAUUCCCAAAGUAGCGGCGAGCGAAAUGGGAAGAGCCCAAACCAGAGUGCGUGCACUCUGGGGUUACGGACUGCAUAAGUGAGCUGAUUCGUUAAUGGAACGGUCCUGGAAAGACCGGCCAGAGAGAGUGAAAGCCUCGUACAUGAAAACGAUAAGCAGCGGCAGGAUCCAGAGUACCGCGAGACACGUGGAACCUUGCGGGAAUUCGGGGGGACCACCCCCCAAGGCUAAAUACUCCUUAGUGACCGAUAGCGCAUAGUACUGUGAAGGAAAGGUGAAAAGGACCCCGGGAGGGGAGUGAAAGAGAACCUGAAACCCUGUGUUUACAAGCUGUGGAAGCACGUUAAGGUGCAACCGCGUACUUUUUGUAGAACGGUCCGGCGAGUUGCGGAUGCUGGCGAGGUUAAGGAGUAAAGCUCCGGAGCCGAAGCGAGAGCGAGUCUUAAUAGGGCGUAAAGUCAGCAUGUGCAGACCCGAAACCGGGUGACCUAUCCAUGUCCAGGUUGAAGUUCCCGUAAAAGGGAAUGGAGGACCGAACGCACAUCCGUUGAAAAGGGUGGCGAUGAGGUGUGGAUAGGGGAGAAAUUCCAAUCGAACCCGGAGAUAGCUGGUUCUCCUCGAAAUAGCUUUAGGGCUAGCCUCGUAUUAGUUUAGCGGAGGUAGAGCACUGAAUUUCCUAGGGGGCGUCAAAGUCUACCGAAGAAUAUCAAACUCCGAAUGCCGCAUAAAUGAUGUACGGGAGUCAGACUGCACGAGAUAAGUUGGGUAGUCAAAAGGGAAAGAGCCCAGACCUACAGCUAAGGUCCCAAAGUGUGUGUUAAGUGGAAAAGGAUGUGGGAUUUCGAAGACAACUAGGAUGUUGGCUCAGAAGCAGCCACACAUUCAAAGAGUGCGUAAUAGCUCACUAGUCGAGAGGUCCUGCGCCGAAAAUGUCCGGGGCUAAAACACAACACCGAAGCUUAGGAAUGUAAUUAUACAUUGGUAGAGGAGCAUUCUUAAAGAGACGAAGCAGUACCGAUAAGGAGCUGUGGAUUUUUAAGAAGAGAGAAUGCCGGAAUGAGUAGCGAGAUGGAGGUGGGAAUCCUCCAGGCCGAAUAUCUAAGGUUUCCAGAGUAAAGCUGAUCUGCUCUGGGUAAGUCGGGGCCUAAGGCGAGGUCGAAAGACGUAGUCGAUGGAUAACAGGUUGAAAUUCCUGUACUGCAUAUCAUCAGAACUGUGGGGACACAGAGAGAUACCGGAACCUGGGAAUGAAGAUACCAGGGCAAGCGAGGUAGGUGCUAAGCUGGCAAAACCGCUUAGUAAGCCGAAGACGUGAUGCGGAGCGAAUUAAAGUAGCGAAGUCCGGGAUUCGAGCUGUCGAGAAAAGCCGCUAUUGUGUGAUAUGUACCCGUACCGUAAACCGACACAGGUGGAUGAGGAGAGAAUCCUAAGGCCGGCGGGAGAAGCAUUGUUAAGGAACUCGGCAAAAUGACCCUGUAACUUCGGGAUAAAGGGUGCCACAGAGAUGUGGCCGCAGAGAAUAGGCUCAAGCAACUGUUUAGCAAAAACACAGGUCUAUGCGAAACCGAAAGGUGAGGUAUAUGCUGACGCCUGCCCGGUGCUGGAAGGUUACGAGGAGAGGUUAGAGCAAUCGAAGCUUUGAAUCUAAGCCCCAGUAAACGGCGGCCGUAACUAUAACGGUCCUAAGGUAGCGAAAUUCCUUGUCGGGUAAGUUCCGACCCGCACGAAAGGCGUAAUGAUUUGAGCGCUGUCUCGACAAUGCACCCGGUGAAAUUGAAAUACCAGUGAAGAUGCUGGUUACCUGCGCCAGGACGGAAAGACCCCAUGGAGCUUUACUCUAGCUUGAUACUGGGAUUCGGUACUGCAUGUACAGGAUAGGUGGGAGACUUUGAUGACAGGACGCCAGUCUUGUCGGAGUCGCUGUUGGGAUACCACCCUUGUGGUACUGGAUUUCUAACCAACCUCCGUGACCCGGAGGUGGGACAAUGUCAGGUGGGGAGUUUGACUGGGGCGGUCGCCUCCGAAAGGGUAUCGGAGGCGCUCAAAGGUUCCCUCAGAAUGGUUGGAAACCAUUCAAAGAGUGCAAAGGCAGAAGGGAGCUUGACUGCGAGACCGACGGGUCGAGCAGGUACGAAAGUAGGACUUAGUGAUCCGGUGGUAGAAAGUGGGAUUGCCAUCGCUCAACGGAUAAAAGCUACCCUGGGGAUAACAGGCUUAUCACUCCCAAGAGUUCACAUCGACGGAGUGGUUUGGCACCUCGAUGUCGGCUCAUCGCAUCCUGGGGCUGAAGUAGGUCCCAAGGGUUGGGCUGUUCGCCCAUUAAAGCGGUACGCGAGCUGGGUUCAGAACGUCGUGAGACAGUUCGGUCCCUAUCCGGCGCGGGCGUAGGAUAUUUGAGAGGAGCUGCCCUUAGUACGAGAGGACCGGGGUGGACUGGCCUCUGGUGUAUCUGUUGAGCCAUCAG
This 2697-nucleotide ribosomal RNA is filed under the name Clostridium sp. AM48-13. RNAcentral's name for it is "partial 23S ribosomal RNA". It matches the Rfam family "Bacterial large subunit ribosomal RNA". The record is from RNAcentral. Lineage: Bacteria; Bacillati; Bacillota; Clostridia; Eubacteriales; Clostridiaceae.